AACGAACGCUGGCGGCAGGCCUAACACAUGCAAGUCGAGCGCCCCGCAAGGGGAGCGGCGGCGGGUGAGUAACGCGUGGGAACGUACCCUUUGCUACGGAAUAGCCUCGGGAAACUGGGAGUAAUACCGUAUGUGCCCUUCGGGGGAAAGAUUUAUCGGCAAAGGAUCGGCCCGCGUUGGAUUAGGUAGUUGGUGGGGUAAUGGCCUACCAAGCCGACGAUCCAUAGCUGGUUUGAGAGGAUGAUCAGCCACACUGGGACUGAGACACGGCCCAGACUCCUACGGGAGGUAGCAGUGGGGAAUCUUAGACAAUGGGCGCAAGCCUGAUCUAGCCAUGCCGCGUGAGCGAUGAAGGCCUUAGGGUUGUAAAGCUCUUUCAGUGGGGAAGGAUAAUGACUGUACCCACAGAAGAAGCCCCGGCUAACUCCGUG
RNAcentral lists this ribosomal RNA (431 nucleotides) under uncultured bacterium. Its description in RNAcentral is "bacterial SSU rRNA". It matches the Rfam family "Bacterial small subunit ribosomal RNA", at positions 29 to 507 of the family's 1533-position model. The record is from RNAcentral.